Small nuclear RNA from Sciurus vulgaris (Eurasian red squirrel), 106 nucleotides. NCBI's taxonomy places the organism in Eukaryota, Metazoa, Chordata, Mammalia, Rodentia, Sciuridae. The record is from Ensembl.
GUGCUUGCUUCGGCAGCACAUAUACUAAAAUUGCAAAGAUACAGAGAAGAUUAGCAUGGCCUCUGUGCAAAGGUACACACAAAUUUGUGAAGCAUUCCAUAUUAAA